CCUACGAGAUGCAGCAGUGAGGAAUAUUGGUCAAUGGACGAGAGUCUGAACCAGCCAAGUCGCGUGAAGGAUGACGGCCCUACGGGUUGUAAACUUCUUUUGUCAGGGAGCAAUUGGGUCCACGCGUGGGCUUAGCGAGAGUACCUGAAGAAAAAGCAUCGGCUAACUCCGUGCCAGCAGCCGCGGUAAUACGGAGGAUGCGAGCGUUAUCCGGAUUUAUUGGGUUUAAAGGGUGCGUAGGCGGAAUAUCAAGUCAGCGGUAACAAUUCGGGGCUCAACCCCGUCGUGCCGUUGAAACUGAUGUUCUUGAGUGGGCGAGAAGUAUGCGGAAUGCGUGGUGUAGCGGUGAAAUGCAUAGAUAUCACGCAGAACUCCGAUUGCGAAGGCAGCAUACCGGCGCCCAACUGACGCUGAAGCACGAAAGCGUGGGUAUCGAACAGGAUUAGAUACCCUAGUAGUC
This 460-nucleotide ribosomal RNA is filed under the name uncultured bacterium. RNAcentral's name for it is "partial 16S ribosomal RNA". It matches the Rfam family "Bacterial small subunit ribosomal RNA", at positions 338 to 795 of the family's 1533-position model. The record is from RNAcentral.